CACUGCCGAGAAAAGCCUCUAGAUAGAAAAUAGGUGCCCGUACCGCAAACCGACACAGGUAGUCAAGAUGAGAAUUCUAAGGUGAGCGAGCGAACUCUCGUUAAGGAACUCGGCAAAAUGACCCCGUAACUUCGGGAGAAGGGGUGCUCUUUAGGGUUAACGCCCAGAAGAGCCGCAGUGAAUAGGCCCAAGCGACUGUUUAUCAAAAACACAGGUCUCUGCUAAACCGUAAGGUGAUGUAUAGGGGCUGACGCCUGCCCGGUGCUGGAAGGUUAAGAGGAGUGGUUAGCUUCUGCGAAGCUACGAAUCGAAGCCCCAGUAAACGGCGGCCGUAACUAUAACGGUCCUAAGGUAGCGAAAUUCCUUGUCGGGUAAGUUCCGACCCGCACGAAAGGCGUAACGAUUUGGGCACUGUCUCAACGAGAGACUCGGUGAAAUCAUAGUACCUGUGAAGAUGCAGGUUACCCGCGACAGGACGGAAAGACCCCGUGGAGCUUUACUGUAGCCUGAUAUUGAAAUUCGGCACAGCUUGUACAGGAUAGGUAGGAGCCUUUGAAACGUGAGCGCUAGCUUACGUGGAGGCGCUGGUGGGAUACUACCCUAGCUGUGUUGGCUUUCUAACCCGCACCACUUAUCGUGGUGGGAGACAGUGUCAGGCGGGCAGUUUGACUGGGGCGGUCGCCUCCUAAAAGGUAACGGAGGCGCUCAAAGGUUCCCUCAGAAUGGUUGGAAAUCAUUCAUAGAGUGUAAAGGCAUAAGGGAGCUUGACUGCGAGACCUACAAGUCGAGCAGGGUCGAAAGACGGACUUAGUGAUCCGGUGGUUCCGCAUGGAAGGGCCAUCGCUCAACGGAUAAAAGCUACCCCGGGGAUAACAGGCUUAUCUCCCCCAAGAGUUCACAUCGACGGGGAGGUUUGGCACCUCGAUGUCGGCU
This 933-nucleotide ribosomal RNA is filed under the name Staphylococcus aureus. Its description in RNAcentral is "partial 23S ribosomal RNA". It matches the Rfam family "Bacterial large subunit ribosomal RNA", at positions 1603 to 2537 of the family's 2925-position model. The record is from RNAcentral. Lineage: Bacteria; Bacillati; Bacillota; Bacilli; Caryophanales; Staphylococcaceae.